GCGGAACGUCCUGGUUGGCGUCUGCGGUGGACACCUCCUCCCAGCGGGCACCGCCCCCACCCCGCUCUCUAGGGCAGGCCUCAGCUUCUCCCUUCUUUCAAACAGAGGUAUAUACCCAGAAGACCCAAAUGCAGGGGUUCCAUGAGAUAUUAACACAAGCAUGUUCCCAGCGGCUUUAGUCACAGCCCAAACGUAGAAGCAGCCUGCCUGUCCAGCCACAGCUGACAUACCGCUUUCUGUAAGCUGAAGGUGUCUAAUGUGAUGGCCAUGUACCUGUGUGCUGCUGCACAUGAGAGGAUGAAAAAAGAGAGCAAACCUGUCACCUGUAGUGGAUGAACCUCGAGGACUCUGCUCAGUGAAGUACGCCAGACACAAACGGGCAAAUACUGUGUGAUUCCUCAUAUAAGAGGUCCCGAGAGGAGCACAUGGGACGUAAAAAGGCAGGUGGUGGCGGAGUUUGGCAUUUGAGGCCCAGCUGGCUAACGUCUGAACCAGUCCAACCCGAGUGGAGGGCAAAAGGGACUUGUCGAAGCCCUCUGCCGGGACCAGCCACACAGGGCUGUGUCAGGGUCAUGGGGAGGCCUCACUUCAACCCAAGGAAGGCCCAGCCUCCCUUGCCUCACCCCUCCACCACCCCCAGCCCCACCCAGCCACCACCUCAGGCACAGCCCAUGUGCAGGGCAGGGACUCCACACCAGGCUCCAACCCACUAGGAGCCAGUGGGCUGGGCGGGGGCUGCAGGGUUCCGGCCCAGUGGAUGCCUGGCCAAGGACAAACCGAUUCAAAGCUUCUUCUCUUACCUCUUGGAUUCAGGAAGCCAAAAACUCAAGAAGUCCCCAAGUUGAAACAAUAUGUUAUUUUAAGGGAAAGGGCAGCAGGU
Non-coding RNA from Manis javanica (Malayan pangolin), 880 nucleotides. Lineage: Eukaryota; Metazoa; Chordata; Mammalia; Pholidota; Manidae. The record is from RefSeq and is a predicted model, not a curated record.